RNAcentral lists this ribosomal RNA (483 nucleotides) under uncultured bacterium. RNAcentral describes it as "partial 16S ribosomal RNA". It matches the Rfam family "Bacterial small subunit ribosomal RNA", at positions 28 to 507 of the family's 1533-position model. The record is from RNAcentral.
GACGAACGCUGGCGGCGUGCUUAACACAUGCAAGUCGAACGCUGAAGCUCAGCUUUUGUUGGGUGGAUGAGUGGCGAACGGGUGAGUAACACGUGAGUAACCUGCCCUCUUCUUUGGGAUAACGCCCGGAAACGGGUGCUAAUACUGGAUAUUCACUGAUCUUCGCAUGGGGGUUGGUGGAAAGGUUUGUUCUGGUGGGGGAUGGGCUCGCGGCCUAUCAGCUUGUUGGUGGGGUGAUGGCCUACCAAGGCUUUGACGGGUAGCCGGCCUGAGAGGGUGACCGGUCACAUUGGGACUGAGAUACGGCCCAGACUCCUACGGGAGGCAGCAGUGGGGAAUAUUGCACAAUGGGCGAAAGCCUGAUGCAGCGACGCCGCGUGAGGGAUGGAGGCCUUCGGGUUGUAGACCUCUUUCGCUCAUGGUCAAGCCGCGACGUGGGUUGUGGUGAGGGUAGUGGGUAAAGAAGCGCCGGCUAACUACGUG